GGCCAAGUUUUUAAGGGCGCACGGUGGAUGCCUUGGCACCAGGAACCGAUGAAGGACGUGGGAGGCCACGAUAGUCCCCGGGGAGUCGUCAACCAGGCUUUGAUCCGGGGGUUUCCGAAUGGGGAAACCCGGCAGUCGUCAUGGGCUGUCACCCGCUGCUGAACACAUAGGCAGUGUGGAGGGAACGCGGGGAAGUGAAACAUCUCAGUACCCGCAGGAAGAGAAAACAACCGUGAUUCCGGGAGUAGUGGCGAGCGAAACUGGAUGAGGCCAAACCGUAUACGUGUGAGACCCGGCAGGGGUUGCGUGUGCGGGGUUGUGGGAUCUCUCUUCUGUUGUCUGCCGGCAACAGGACGAGUCAGAAACCGUUGAUGUAGGCGAAGGACAUGCGAAAGGUCCGGCGUAGAGGGUAAGACCCCCGUAGUCGAAACAUCAGCGGCUCGUUUGAGAGACACCCAAGUAGCACGGGGCCCGAGAAAUCCCGUGUGAAUCUGGCGGGACCACCCGCUAAGCCUAAAUAUUCCCUGGUGACCGAUAGCGGAUAGUACCGUGAGGGAAUGGUGAAAAGUACCGCGGGAGCGGAGUGAAAUAGUACCUGAAACCGUGUGCCUACAAGCCGUGGGAGCGUCGGACAUCAAGCUUGCUUGGUGUCUCGUGACUGCGUGCCUUUUGAAGAAUGAGCCUGCGAGUUUGCGGUGUGUUGCGAGGUUAACCCGGGUGGGGUAGCCGUAGCGAAAGCGAGUCCGAACAGGGCGUUUCAGUAGCACGCUCAAGAC
This 776-nucleotide ribosomal RNA is filed under the name Streptomyces lancefieldiae. RNAcentral describes it as "Streptomyces sp. DSM 40712 partial 23S ribosomal RNA". It matches the Rfam family "Bacterial large subunit ribosomal RNA", at positions 1 to 714 of the family's 2925-position model. The record is from RNAcentral. Lineage: Bacteria; Bacillati; Actinomycetota; Actinomycetes; Kitasatosporales; Streptomycetaceae.